This 158-nucleotide small RNA is filed under the name Sporobacter termitidis. RNAcentral's name for it is "Magnesium sequence". It matches the Rfam family "M-box riboswitch aptamer (ykoK leader)". Rfam says of the family: M-box riboswitch, also know as ykoK leader is described as a metaloregulatory RNA that sense divalent metals and function as a genetic control element of genes related to divalent metal transport in bacteria. It was first reported upstream of the B.subtilis ykoK gene and genes with related functions in other bacteria. RNAcentral also lists the same sequence under 1 other name. The record is from RNAcentral. Lineage: Bacteria; Bacillati; Bacillota; Clostridia; Eubacteriales; Oscillospiraceae.
AUAGAACCUCGGUAGGUGAGGCUACCGAAAGGAUAUGGAUUGCUGCCGCGAAGGGUUGGAGACAACCAUAGCAGGUCAACAGGCUUUGUCGAAUUUCAAGGCAUAACCUAACGCAAUUUCACCGCCUUUCGGAGCUAAAGCUUGAACGGGCGUGCGCA